AAAAAUCUUACCGGCAGUCCCAGCCCGUCAGCCCUGCUCUCCUCGCCGCCCCCGCCCCUGCUCUCCUCCGCCCCCCCUCCCCUCUGCCCUCCGUUAUUCGGCUCUCUCCGCGCGAGGUCGCCACCGGCCGUGGCCCCUGCAGGUUGCUGCCCGAGCUCUCCUCUGCAGCACCGUCGACCUCUUCCCUUCCUCGCCCACCCUCCUCCCCGCCUCAGAUCUCCGGCGGCUGGGUGCGGGCUAGGUGGAAUCCCCGUCGGCGUUCGACCCCGUCCUCGUCUCCGCCGACCGCCAUCCUGCCGGCUGCUGCUCCGUCACCCGCCUCCCACCGGCCGCUGCUCCGCUAACCGCUGAAUCGUCCCGAUGCUCUGUCGGCCUCUUCUUCAACUGGGAUAAAUUGGUAUGUUCGGAAAGGACAUUGACGAAGGUAUUUCGUAUGAGCAGAGAGCAAUGGGAUUGUAUGCAAGCUUUUGUAUAUAUUUUGUGGCUGUAAAAUAGUACUGCACCCUUUCUUCAGUAAUUUUAAAUUAUCUUUCUUAAGCUCGGUUCAGUUUUGAUGGUAGAAUAGAAGGCAUCUGCACAUUCAGGGAGAGGUGAAUAUAACUGAAUUAUCUUUGAAAGCUUUUCUCCCAUCAGAUUGGUGACCGUUACUUCAAAUGAAGGGUGAAGGUCCUAUUAGUCAAUUGUUUAUACAGUAAAGCAUCAGGUAUAUUUUUGUUGGUUCAGAAGUGCUCCCAAUUCUAGAGUUCGUGUUGUUUCAUUUCCGUCGAAAAUCUAAUUAUACGACGUGCAGGCAGUUUUAGGACAUAAGUUGUUAUCUCUUUUGUAAAUAUUAAGGACUGAUUCUAUAUUAACAUAAAACUCAUCUUGAACCUUCCUACUGAUUCUAUGGUAGUUCCAUAGAGAGUUAACUUCAUACAAUACUUUCUAGAUCGUGAAAAGUGCAGGGCUGACAUACUGACCGAACUAUUCUUGCUCUACAUGCCAAAUGAUUCUCUAUUUUUAACAUUGUCAUUACUGUAUCAACAAUCAUAAUAUGUUGUUAGGAUAAUAUGCUGUUAGGACUAUCUCCACUUGCAUUCAACUUGGCAGGAUUUACUUUAAUAUCAACUUUCUGGAAUUUUUGGUUGUUUUAUACUCAUGUGUUUGUAUGCCUCUAUGAUGGAUUUAACUUCAGUCACCUGCUGGAGCAGCUGGACGCCAGGUUUGGGUCUUAGCAUAAGCUUACCUGAUAUUUUCCUAUUGAAAAUGCUUACAAUUUAUGGUUAUUGUUUUCUUGCUAAAAUGCCUUACUACACUUUUGUUUCCCAGAAGGUUGAUGAUAUAGAAAAUGAAGCAAACAAACUUAAGCGAAUCAAGAACUAUCUUCAUGGCAAGUUAUCAGAGCACACAAGUCAUCCCAUUGAGAAGGAGGGGGAUUCCUUGUCGCCGUGCAAAAAACCUUUGCGUAGUUUAAAUAAGAGCGGGAUGCAGAGCGGAUGUGUGGAUGAAUAAAGGAUAGGAGAAAGCAAGAUGGGGAUGUUUGUCACGACAAAAAAUGUGUAUCUGUCAUCAGUGUAUUGAACAAUAUUAAUUAGUAUCUUUAUAUGUUUAUUAUUGUUUGUUACAAUGUUUAAUUGGUAUUUAUAUAUGUUUAUUAUUUUUUGUA
Brachypodium distachyon (stiff brome) is the source of this 1645-nucleotide long non-coding RNA. RefSeq lists it as uncharacterized. The transcript has 2 exons. The record is from RefSeq and is a predicted model, not a curated record. Lineage: Eukaryota; Viridiplantae; Streptophyta; Magnoliopsida; Poales; Poaceae.